AACCCUAUUGUUGACUAAAGGAAAAAGUUCAGUUUAGGGUUUAAAAUCCUAAUGCUGACUGAAGGAAAGAGUUCAGUUUAGGGUUUAAAACCCUAAUGCUGACUGAAGGAAAAAGUUCAGUUUAGAGUUUAAAACCCUAAUGCUAACUGAAUGGAAAAAGUUCAGUUUAGGGUUUAAAACCCUAAUGCUGACUAAAGGAAAAGAGUUCAGUUUAGGGUUUAAAACCCUAAUGCUGACUAAAGGAAAAAGUUCAGUUUAGGAUUUAAAACCCUAAUGUUGACUGAAUGGAAAAAGUUCAGUUUAGGGUUUAAAACCCUAAUGCUGACUGAAGGAAAGAGUUUAGUUUAGGAUUUAAAACCCUAAUGCUAACUAAAUAAAAGAGUUCAGUUUAGGGUUUAAAACCCUAAUGCUGACUGAAUGGAAAAAGUUCAGUUUAGGGUUUAAACCCCUAAUGCUUACUAAAGGAAAAGAGUUCAGUUUAGGGUUUAAAACCCUAAUGCUGACUAAAGGAAAAAGUUUAGUUUAGGGUUUAAAACCCUAAUGCUGACUGAAUGGAAAAAGUUCAGUUUAGGGUUUAAACCACUAAUGCUGACU
This 594-nucleotide long non-coding RNA is filed under the name Nicotiana tabacum (common tobacco). RNAcentral's name for it is "long non-coding RNA (NTAB_LNC001927)". The record is from RNAcentral. Lineage: Eukaryota; Viridiplantae; Streptophyta; Magnoliopsida; Solanales; Solanaceae.